CCUACGGGAGGCUGCAGUGGGGGAUAUUGCACAAUGGGGGGAACCCUUAUGCAGCGACGCCGCGUGGGUGAAGAAGCGCCUUCGCGCGUAAAGCCCUGUCAGUAGGGAAGAAAAUUACGGUACCUGAAGAACAAGCCCCGGCUACCUCCGUGCCAGCAGCCGCGGCCAGACGGAGGGGGCAAGCGUUAUCCGGAUUCACCGGGGGUAAAGGGGGCGCAGGCGGAGAGGGAAGCCAGGAGUGAAAGCCCGGGGCCCAACCCCGGGACUGCACAUGGAACUGCGAGGCUGGAGUACAGGAGGGGCAGGCGGAAUUCCUGGUGUAGCAGUGAAAUGCGUAGAUAUCAGGAGGAACACCGGUGGCGAAGGCGGCCUGCUGGACUGCAACUGACGUUGAGGCCCGAAGGCGUGGGGAGCGAACGGGAUUAGAUACCCCUGUAGUC
This 440-nucleotide ribosomal RNA is filed under the name uncultured bacterium. RNAcentral describes it as "partial 16S ribosomal RNA". It matches the Rfam family "Bacterial small subunit ribosomal RNA", at positions 338 to 795 of the family's 1533-position model. The record is from RNAcentral.